This 687-nucleotide unclassified non-coding RNA is filed under the name uncultured Prochlorococcus sp. RNAcentral describes it as "partial may contain 16S ribosomal RNA, 16S-23S ribosomal RNA intergenic spacer, and 23S ribosomal RNA". The stretch from base 1 to 97 matches the Rfam family "Bacterial small subunit ribosomal RNA", at positions 1437 to 1533 of the family's 1533-position model. The record is from RNAcentral. Lineage: Bacteria; Bacillati; Cyanobacteriota; Cyanophyceae; Synechococcales; Prochlorococcaceae.
ACCCUUGUGGAGGAGGACGCCGAAGGUGGGGCUAAUGACUGGGGUGAAGUCGUAACAAGGUAGCCGUACCGGAAGGUGCGGCUGGAUCACCUCCUAACAGGGAGACAACAAAAUGUUUAUAUUAUUAUUUUGUCACCUUAGGUCGAUCGGUAUCUCACGUUCUUAAUUUGUUAAGAAUUUCAUUUCCUAAGUUUUUCUAGGUCACACCCAUUAUUUUUCCUGGGCCAUUAGCUCAGGUGGUUAGAGCGCACCCCUGAUAAGGGUGAGGUCCCUGGUUCAAGUCCAGGAUGGCCCAUAUCUCUAUGUUGGGGGUAUAGCUCAGUUGGUAGAGCGCCUGCUUUGCAAGCAGGAUGUCAGCGGUUCGAGUCCGCUUACCUCCACUGAUUACCACCUCUUCCAUAAUCCGUAGAAAGGAAAUGUUUUGAGUUGUGAUCAUUAUUCUGAACGAAUCUAGCUUCCUAAUGAAAUCAUUAAGAUGCUGGACUCAUUGAAUUAAUUUCAUUGUUUUCAGAGAACCUUGACAACUGCAUAGAUUAUUUUUAAAGACAAUAAGCAUCUUUAAUGAUGCAGAUUUAUUAUUUGUGCGAAUGCAUUAAUAACAAUUCUAUUAAGCUGAUGCUUCAAUUUUUGAAGUUAUUGGUCAAGCUACAAAGGGCUCACGGAGGAUACCUAGGCACACAGAGGCGA